CUUGCAAAUUGCUCCACAGUCUAACCAGUCAUGCUAUUGAGAAGAUAUGCCUGCAGUUCAACCCAAAUUCUCUGUUGCUGUGUUUUGCACAUGUUCAACAAACUCAGCUUCCUUCUUGCGGUGAGGAGUACUCAAGAUGUGGUCUUAUCAGUGUCAAGCAUUGAGGGACAAGCAGAACAAUUCAAAGGCUAUGACUAUCCUUGAGACCUUGUAGCACCUGCACCUACAGAAACUGUCCACAGAGACCUUACCGGACCAUGUUUUAUUGUCAUUGUUUCUGGGCAAAGGUUUUAUAAUGCAGCAGUGGAGUCCAUCUUGCUGAAGCAAUGGAGACAGAUAGUGAUGGAGCUGCCAGAACAACCUGUAAAUUAUCUGCCCUAAAAUCCUCAAAGAGCACUUUGUGCUGAAAAGAAGGCUGUUCAAGGCAGGAGGGGAAGAAUUUGAUCUUGCCUACAUUUGUUGUACAGGAACAGAAAGGAGGAGUGCUUUAUUCAUCAAGUGAACACAGCACUUUAAAAAUUCAACUAAGUCAAUAUAGGAAUACGUUUAAAAUGUAUUCACCUUCAGAGAGAGAUUUCCUGGACUGACAGAACUGCCAAUGGGUAUGAGUUAUUGCUUAGCAAAAGUUGCUGCAAAGGAUGCUGUACCCAUCACCCCUGUGAAGGGGUCUUAUGUGGAACAAGCUGCUAAGAAAGUUAUGGCCAACAGAAGUUCUGCCUUUGACUGGUGCUUUGGUAACUACCUGUGGGGAUAGUCUGCUGUUAUUCUAUUUUUCUUCCUUCUUUGUCAGAGAAAAUGGCAGUCUGGUGACAGUGUUCUUGAGAAUAGCAACUUCAUUCUACCAGGUUCUGCUGGUAGAGUAGAAGUGGAAAGUCCUGCCUGAGAACGUGCAUUGUAGAAGCACUGUUCCCAAAGCUGGCAGCUCUGCCAAAACCCAGAACAUGAGUGCUUUGGGGAUGCCCUGGUAGGAACUUAGGUCAGUGCUGGCCUUGGGCCAUCCAGAGUAAGAUGUGAACUGCCUGGACUACGGCAUUACUGGGCAGAAAGAGUGUCUGAUCCCUUCAUGAUUUCAACUUCAGAUUUGCACACCUUAUAUUUACCUCUGAGUACUUUGUAGCACAGUUUGAUAUUUAUGCUUUGACUUUAAUUCAGAAAGAAUCUGGAGAGGAAUAAGAGAGAGGCUAAAAAUGUGCAAGACAAAAAAUACAUGUGUGAUUUCUGAAAUCUGACAGUGUUUAGGAGGGGAAAUAGAAGCUACACUGCUGAUUAUUUUACUUUAUUCUCCCAAUUGAAUGUGAUUUUUUUUGUUUUGUUAUUUUUUAUUUUUCUUUCUAUGCUAUGUAUGGAUGAUACCAGGCCAGUUCCUACCCAAAGGCUUGCUUAAGUGCUUUCAAUCUUACUUGCUUACCUUGCAUCUACAGUAACAAGGAUUCAGUUGUGAGUAAGCCUCAGCAUGUUACUUUAGUUCAAAUGAUUUCUAACUGGAAUAUCAGUGAAUCUUUACCUUCAGGUCAUCCGUGCUCUUUUGUAAGAAUGAAUUUCAGUAGCUUAAAAAUGCUCAGAGUUUGUGAAUGACAAUGAUAACUCACUGCUAUGAAACUUCCUGUAAGUGUGCACCCAUCUCCCUAAAUAAGUAGAAAUGGGUUUCAAAUAACAGGCUCUUCUGUUUAUAAGAGUGGUAAUUAGAAGUGCAUUAAGGAAACCCUCAUUUCAGAAGCAGGCGUAUGAUAUCUAUGAAGUUUCCUGCUUUUUUCCUUUUCUAUAUAUGUUUGAGGCUCCUGAUUGUCUAAUGAGAUUAGGGUAAAUUUGAAAUUAAUUGUAUCUUGUAUAUGUUUUUGAAAUAACAGGCAUAAAGCUACAUUAACUUGUUUUCAUUUGUGAAAGCAGCCUGUUUUCCUUGGUACGUAAGUAACUUCAUGGUUACUAAAGUCUUACUUAUACCCUUUGAAUUGUAUGAGCAAACCUUUCUCUAUUUUAUGUGUUCAUGAAGAUAUUGAAGAAAUAUCAGCAGCUUUGUAUGCAAGUAGAUGAGUGAAGUUGGCAUUUAAACUCUUGAAAAUUACAUAACAGCUACUAGUGUUAAGAAAUUAUAGAUAUGAUGAAGGAAGAGCUGUGAAUUUACAUUUAGAAAUUAACCCAGCUGGGUUUUGUGUGUGAGUGAAAGGUGAAGGAGAGAUAUUUUUAAAAGCUAUUAUUGUGCAUCAGCAAGGUGUGUGUCAUUAACUAAUUAUUUUGAGAAUGCCUUACUAAGACAGUGGUGGUAAUUAGUCUUUAGAUUUGUAGAAGGAAUGUGAUAUUCCUUUUAA
RNAcentral lists this long non-coding RNA (2306 nucleotides) under Gallus gallus (chicken). The record is from RNAcentral. Lineage: Eukaryota; Metazoa; Chordata; Aves; Galliformes; Phasianidae.